UAUGUGUGGUUGGGGAAUUCAUGUGGAGGUCAGAGUGGAAGCAGGUGUGAGAGGGUCCAGCAGAAGGAAACAUGGCUGCCAAAGUGUUUGAGUCCAUUGGCAAGUUUGGCCUGGCCUUAGCUGUUGCAGGAGGCGUGGUGAACUCUGCCUUAUAUAAUGGUGAGGCAUGGAGGGACAGUGGGUCACUGCACUUUCCUAAGAGUUUUCUGUUGGUCUGCAUAGCCCAUGUGACACUCUUGAUGGUAGCUGCUGUCAGUGAAUGUGUUUGUGGCCAAGAGGGCUCACCUCCUGCCAUUUCAUACCAUAGGACUGCAUUGUUAUCAGAGCCCCUGACCUUUCAGUCAUAGGUUCUCUCAGAGCCUGUAUUCAAAAAGAGCUUCCCAGCCCACUUCCUAGUUGGAUGUGUCCAGUGGCUCCUGUCAAGGUGAAGUGAAGCCACACCACCCAAAUGCUGCCGCACAGUGUCUGGAUUUCCCUGGCUAUCUGAAAUGGAGAUCUCAUUUGUUCUCCUCUGCUUGCAUGUGGAAUAACAGCAAAGGCUGCAGAUCUGUUUGGGUGACCUUGUCCCGAACAGGAGCUUUUGCUGUGCUGAAUUCGGGUAGUUUCAGAGAAAGUAUCUUUGAGAUGCAUUGCCCAGCUUUUAACAGUGU
RNAcentral lists this small RNA (650 nucleotides) under Pan troglodytes (chimpanzee). RNAcentral describes it as "retained intron". The record is from RNAcentral. Lineage: Eukaryota; Metazoa; Chordata; Mammalia; Primates; Hominidae.